RNAcentral lists this ribosomal RNA (440 nucleotides) under uncultured bacterium. Its description in RNAcentral is "partial 16S ribosomal RNA". It matches the Rfam family "Bacterial small subunit ribosomal RNA", at positions 338 to 795 of the family's 1533-position model. The record is from RNAcentral.
CCUACGGGAGGCAGCAGUGGGGGAUAUUGCACAAUGGGGGAAACCCUGAUGCAGCGACGCCGCGUGAGUGAAGAAGUAUUUCUGUAUGUAAAGCUCUAUCAGCAGGGAAGAAAAUGACAGUACCUGACCAAGAAGCCCCGGCUAACUACGUGCCAGCAGCCGCGGUAAUACGUAGGGGGCAAGCGUUAUCCGGAUUUACUGGGUGUAAAGGGAGCGUAGACGGUUAUGUAAGUCUGGAGUGAAAGCCCGGGGCCCAACCCCGGGACUGAUUUGGAAACUGGGGAACUGGAGUGCAGGAGGGGCAGGCGGAAUUCCUGGUGUAGCGGUGAAAUGCGUAGAUAUCAGGAGGAACACCGGCGGCGAAGGCGGCCUGCUGGACUGAAACUGACGUUGAGGCUCGAAAGCGUGGGGAGCAAACAGGAUUAGAUACCCCGGUAGUC